AUCUAGUUGAUGAGUCUCAAACGGGACGAAAUGUACGUCCUAGAU
Non-coding RNA from Schistosoma mattheei, 45 nucleotides. Lineage: Eukaryota; Metazoa; Platyhelminthes; Trematoda; Strigeidida; Schistosomatidae. The record is from Rfam.